GCCCCUCAUGUAUUUUGGAGUUGAAGAGUCUCCUCGAUGCUUCAAAAUGCACAGUAUGACUCUGCUCACCGUACAACUCUUAUAGGUAAGUGAUCAUUGUCCUGACAAUUAGCAUGUGCUCAUGCUGUCUUUGUAACUCAUUCAUCAUCAAAGUCAGUAUGUAGCACUUGAUCCAAUUAUCAUCAUUUGUUUACUUUUCUUGUGCUGCCUUCUAUUCAAUGAUAGGAUGGUUUGGCAAACUAGGGAGGUCCUGGUUGA
This 258-nucleotide long non-coding RNA is filed under the name Elaeis guineensis (African oil palm). RNAcentral's name for it is "long non-coding RNA (EGUI_LNC046788)". Lineage: Eukaryota; Viridiplantae; Streptophyta; Magnoliopsida; Arecales; Arecaceae. The record is from RNAcentral.